UACGUAGGGGGCAAGCGUUGUCCGGAAUUAUUGGGCGUAAAGAGUACGUAGGCGGUCUGUUAAGCGCAAGGUGAAAGGCAUAGGCUCAACCAAUGUGAGCCUUGCGAACUGGCAGACUUGAGUGCAGGAGAGGAAAGCGGAAUUCCUAGUGUAGCGGUGAAAUGCGUAGAUAUUAGUAGGAACACCGGUGGCGAAGGCGGCUUUCUGGACUGAAACUGACGCUGAGGUACGAAAGCGUGGGGAGCAAACAGG
RNAcentral lists this ribosomal RNA (252 nucleotides) under uncultured bacterium. RNAcentral's name for it is "partial 16S ribosomal RNA". It matches the Rfam family "Bacterial small subunit ribosomal RNA", at positions 524 to 776 of the family's 1533-position model. The record is from RNAcentral.